Molecule: long non-coding RNA, 1050 nt
Filed under: Salmo salar (Atlantic salmon)
Lineage: Eukaryota; Metazoa; Chordata; Actinopteri; Salmoniformes; Salmonidae
Description: lncRNA (ENSSSAG00000115989.1)
Source: RNAcentral
CUAGACAGAUGGGUUAUGGUUAGUAUUAUAGGUGUGUUACUGGACAGAUGGGUUAGUAUUAUAGGUGUGGUACUGGACAGAUGGGUUAGUAUUAUAGGUGUGGUACUAGACAGAUGGGUUAGUAUUAUAGGUGUGGUACUGGACAGAUGGGUUAGUAUUAUAGGUGUGGUACUGGACAUAUGGGUUAGUAUUAUAGGUGUGGUACUGGACAGAAGGGUUAGUAUAAUAGGUGUGGUACUGGACAGAUGGGUUAGUAUUAUAGGUGUGGUACUGGACAGAUGGGUUAGUAUUAUAGAUGUGGUACUAGACAGAUGGGUUAUGGGUUAGUAUUAUAGGUGUGGUACUGGACAGAUGGGUUAGUAUUAUAGGUGUGGUACUAGACAGAUGGAUUAGUAUUAUAGGUGUGGUACUGGAAUGAUGGGUUAUGGGUAGUAUUAUAGGUGUGGUACUAGACAGAUGGGUUAUGGGUAGUAUUAUAGGUGUGUUACUGGACAGAUGGGUUAGUAUUAUAGGUGUGGUACUGGACAGAUGGGUUAGUAUUAUAGGUGUGGUACUAGACAGAUGGGUUAGUAUUAUAGGUGUGGUACUGGACAGAUGGGUUAGUAUUAAAUGUGUGGUACUGGACAUAUGGGUUAGUAUUAUAGGUGUGGUACUGGACAGAUGGGUUAGUAUUAUAGUUGUGGUACUAGACAGAUGGGUUAGUAUUAUAGGUGUGGUACUGGACAUAUGGUUUGGUAUUAUAGGUGUGGUACUGGACAGAUGGUUUAGUAUUACAGUUGUGGUACUAGAAAGAUGGGUUAUGGGUAGUAUUAUAGGUGUGGUACUAGACAGAUGGGUUAUGGGUAGUAUUACAGGUGUGGUACAAGACAGAUGGGUUAGUAUUAUAGGUGUGGUACUGGACAGAUGGGUUAGUAUUAUAGGUGUGGUACUGGACAGAUGGGUUAGUAUUAUAGGUGUGCUAAUAGACAGAUGGUUUAUGGGUAGUAUUAUAGGUGUGGUACUAGACAGAUGGGUUAUGGGAAGUCUUAUAAGUGUGGUACUGGACAGAUG